CAAUAAGUGAUUUUCCUAUUUUUUUCCUAGGGGAAUGCUGAUUAUCAGUGGUGACUGCGAUAGAAUGGAGAUCAAUAAAGUAUAUUUUUUCUGCAAGUUAAAAAAAAAAAAGCAUGGCUACCCAAGAUCAAAAUUUCAAUCCAUAUUUAGGCAUCCAAAAAUGAUCUACUGUUUUAGAAGUAAUGAUUUCAGUGAGCAAGAUUGUCUCCAGAAUGGGCUUUCUGAGAUAUCUCCAACUUAGUUCCUUCCCAUCCCUAGUUUCACAUCAUGGGCAUUACUCAACUUAAUUGAAAAAUAUCAAAGCUAUUAUUUCAAGUGGGUAUAAAUUUAUGAAUAAUAAAUUAGACUUAGUAAAUGUUGCCAGUUCGUUAAGGUGUAUUUUCUGUACUUUUUUCCUAUGGCAUCUUUCAUUUAAUUUCCAGGGAGAAUCCUUCUGUUGUCUUCUAAAUCAGUGUUUUUCUUUUGGUAAAAAGACGCAAGGAUAUGCCUCAGUCUAUGUGUGCAGAAAAAGACAUCCAGGGCUUCUCUUUCAUCAUCUUAAGAGAGAUGCACGAAGUCAAAAUUGCCCAUUGUGGGAGCACCAAGUCUGA
Molecule: long non-coding RNA, 590 nt
Filed under: Struthio camelus australis
Lineage: Eukaryota; Metazoa; Chordata; Aves; Struthioniformes; Struthionidae
Description: lncRNA (ENSSCUG00000014581.1)
Source: RNAcentral